RNAcentral lists this ribosomal RNA (468 nucleotides) under uncultured bacterium. Its description in RNAcentral is "bacterial SSU rRNA". It matches the Rfam family "Bacterial small subunit ribosomal RNA", at positions 40 to 507 of the family's 1533-position model. The record is from RNAcentral.
CGGCAUGCCUUACACAUGCAAGUCGAACGGCAGCACGGGAGCAAUCCUGGUGGCGAGUGGCGAACGGGUGAGUAAUAUAUCGGAACGUGCCCAGUCGUGGGGAUAACGUAGCGAAAGCUACGCUAAUACCGCAUACGAUCUACGGAUGAAAGCGGGGGAUCGCAAGACCUCGCGCGAUUGGAGCGGCCGAUAUCAGAUUAGGUAGUUGGUGAGGUAAAGGCUCACCAAGCCGACGAUCUGUAGCUGGUCUGAGAGGACGACCAGCCACACUGGGACUGAGACACGGCCCAGACUCCUACGGGAGGCAGCAGUGGGAAUUUGGACAAUGGGCGCAAGCCUGAUCCAGCAAUGCCGCGUGCAGGAUGAAGGCCUUCGGGUUGUAAACUGCUUUGUACGGAACGAAACGGUGAGCUCUAAUACAGUUUGCUAAUGACGGUACCGUAAGAAUAAGCACCGGCUAACUACGUG